RNAcentral lists this ribosomal RNA (819 nucleotides) under uncultured bacterium. RNAcentral describes it as "bacterial SSU rRNA". It matches the Rfam family "Bacterial small subunit ribosomal RNA", at positions 62 to 894 of the family's 1533-position model. The record is from RNAcentral.
UCGACGAUGAUCCCGCUUGCUGGGGGAUUAGUGGCGAACGGGUGAGUAACACGUGAGUAACCUGCCCUUAACUCUGGGAUAAGCCUGGGAAACUGGGUCUAAUACCGGAUAUGACUCCUCAUCGCAUGGUGGGGGGUGGAAAGCUUUAUUGUGGUUUUGGAUGGACUCGCGGCCUAUCAGCUUGUUGGUGAGGUAAUGGCUCACCAAGGCGACGACGGGUAGCCGGCCUGAGAGGGUGACCGGCCACACUGGGACUGAGACACGGCCCAGACUCCUACGGGAGGCAGCAGUGGGGAAUAUUGCACAAUGGGCGAAAGCCUGAUGCAGCGACGCCGCGUGAGGGAUGACGGCCUUCGGGUUGUAAACCUCUUUCAGUAGGGAAGAAGCGAAAGUGACGGUACCUGCAGAAGAAGCGCCGGCUAACUACGUGCCAGCAGCCGCGGUAAUACGUAGGGCGCAAGCGUUAUCCGGAAUUAUUGGGCGUAAAGAGCUCGUAGGCGGUUUGUCGCGUCUGCCGUGAAAGUCCGGGGCUCAACUCCGGAUCUGCGGUGGGUACGGGCAGACUAGAGUGAUGUAGGGGAGACUGGAAUUCCUGGUGUAGCGGUGAAAUGCGCAGAUAUCAGGAGGAACACCGAUGGCGAAGGCAGGUCUCUGGGCAUUAACUGACGCUGAGGAGCGAAAGCAUGGGGAGCGAACAGGAUUAGAUACCCUGGUAGUCCAUGCCGUANACGUUGGGCACUAGGUGUGGGGGNCAUUCCACGUUUUCCGCGCCGUAGCUAACGCAUUAAGUGCCCCGCCUGGGGAGUACGGCCGCAAGGC